GACGAACGCUGGCGGCGUGCCUAAUACAUGCGAGUCGAACGCUGAAGAGAGGAGCUUGCUCUUCUUGGAUGAGUUGCGAACGGGUGAGUAACGCGUAGGUAACCUGCCUGGUAGCGGGGGAUAACUAUUGGAAACGAUAGCUAAUACCGCAUAAAAUGGAUUAUCGCAUGAUAAUCCAUUGAAAGGUGCAAAUGCAUCACUACCAGAUGGACCUGCGUUGUAUUAGCUAGUUGGUGGGGUAACGGCUCACCAAGGCGACGAUACAUAGCCGACCUGAGAGGGUGAUCGGCCACACUGGGACUGAGACACGGCCCAGACUCCUACGGGAGGCAGCAGUAGGGAAUCUUCGGCAAGGGACGGAAGUCUGACCGAGCAACGCCGCGUGAGUGAAGAAGGGUUUCGGAUCGUAAAGCUCUGUUGUAAGAGAAGAACGAGUGUGAGAGUGGAAAGUUCACACUGUGACGGUAUCUUACCAGAAAGGGACGGCUAACUACGUG
RNAcentral lists this ribosomal RNA (497 nucleotides) under uncultured bacterium. Its description in RNAcentral is "partial 16S ribosomal RNA". It matches the Rfam family "Bacterial small subunit ribosomal RNA", at positions 28 to 507 of the family's 1533-position model. The record is from RNAcentral.